AUCUUUCUCAAGUCCUGCUUGAAGAACUCGCAUGACAAAACGUAGCAAAGACCCGCAAGUCAGUGCUAGUGGUGCAUUCCACAGAAUCGGUGCGCGACGUCCUAUGACGUCAGAGCUGAGAUCUUCUCGACGAUGUUUGAGACGGCCGUCGUCGUGCCGAAGUACGACUCGAGGUACUUUGGCAGGAAGGCGAAGUAGCCAAUGAUGCUGUAGAAGUGGAAGCAGACGCCCAGCACGACGCAGACGUACCGACCAUAGUAUCUCCUCUGCGAGUGGUUCAGGGUCCGACUGGCGUAUGCUACUACCUUCUCUUCGCCAUUCUGAAUUUGCGACAACACAGCUCCUAAGCAUGUAUUGCUUGCAUCCGUAUCCAGUAAGUUGACGGUCGCCUGGACACCCUCGUGUGAGGACCUAGCACGGACGCCGACACUGGCUUCUCUCGUGUUGAUUAUAACAUGCGCAUACAGCGCACUAGUCAGAGAGUUUUAUUAAUCGGCAUG
This 500-nucleotide unclassified non-coding RNA is filed under the name Priapulus caudatus. Its description in RNAcentral is "uncharacterized LOC106818223, transcript variant X1". The record is from RNAcentral. Lineage: Eukaryota; Metazoa; Priapulida; Priapulimorpha; Priapulimorphida; Priapulidae.